CCUACGGGGGGCAGCAGUGGGGAAUAUUGCACAAUGGGGGAAACCCUGAUGCAGCAACGCCGCGUGAAGGAAGACGGUUUUCGGAUUGUAAACUUCUAUCAAUAGGGAAGAAAGAAAUGACGGUACCUGACCAAGAAGCCCCGGCUAACUACGUGCCAGCAGCCGCGGUAAUACGUAGGGGGCAAGCGUUAUCCGGAAUUACUGGGUGUAAAGGGAGCGUAGACGGUUAAGUAAGUCUGGAGUGAAAGGCCGGGGCCCAACCCCGGGACUGCUAUGGAAACUAUUGAACUUGAGUGCAGGGGAGGUAAGCGGAAUUCCUAGUGUAGCGGUGAAAUGCGUAGAUAUUAGGAGGAACACCAGUGGCGAAGGCGGCUUACUGGACUGUAACUGACGUUGAGGCUCGAAAGCGUGGGGAGCAAACAGGAUUAGAUACCCUUGUAGUC
This 443-nucleotide ribosomal RNA is filed under the name uncultured bacterium. RNAcentral describes it as "partial 16S ribosomal RNA". It matches the Rfam family "Bacterial small subunit ribosomal RNA", at positions 338 to 795 of the family's 1533-position model. The record is from RNAcentral.